This 1711-nucleotide long non-coding RNA is filed under the name Fragaria vesca (wild strawberry). RNAcentral's name for it is "long non-coding RNA (FVES_LNC000422)". Lineage: Eukaryota; Viridiplantae; Streptophyta; Magnoliopsida; Rosales; Rosaceae. The record is from RNAcentral.
CUCACCUUAACUUAGCCCAAAGUCAGAAUUCAGAAGAACAAUUCCCAAACAAAGCCACAACCUCCAGGCAAGUCAACCAGAACCAACUUCACCAAAUCUGUUGAACCUCUGCAACCUCAUAGAAACCCACUCAUAGCACUUCGAUUAAUAGUCUUACACCAACAACCAAAUCUUCAAAUACAUUAAAUUAAUAUAAAACCCAUCUGACGUAAAUCAUCAAACAUGUACUCUUUCAUUUUAAACCCAAGUUUACUUAACAUUCUAACCAUAGUAAAUCCCUUAGAUAUACUAUGGACACCCGUUUUCGACAAACAACUUUCCCAAAUCUGUACAUAAAAGUAUAAAACUCCAACAUCCAAUUCAAUACAUAAGCACAUUCCAACAAUUCAACCUAUUCUCCAUAAUUACCAAAUUCUAAUCCCCCUUACCGUAUGAAAAAUUGUGUGAGACCAUCUCUAAAACCAUUCUCUACACCCAAAGAGUAGCUCGGCAGCAACCAAGUCUCUCACUGCUGCUCUUCUCUGCUUCCUUUCACCUCUAAAAUGCAGCAGCUAAUCCGACCUCCCUUACUGACAUUCUUUCAUCCUUUCAACAACACAACAACCCACACAUCAAUCUCAAUAAUCACAGCCUUAAAAUUGCAGAAAACUUAGAACCUCAAGGAAAGCAAGAACACCGAAAUUAGAGUAAUACAAUUACUGUUCUCACUCCCAGCAACACUAACACAGUAACCUGAUAUGAACAACAAACCCAAAAUCAUCACCUCUGCCCAAUACCUCACUUCUUCAAACCUUAACCAAUUUCAAUUUCAAUCAUAUAAAGACGUAGAGCUUGACAAAUAGAUUAAUUUCGAUACCUGAAUCGAAACUAAAGCUCGCCGGAAUCCGUCGAGGCGGAAAACUCAAUACCUUCAUCUCUUCGAUUCUCCCUCCUCAGAGCUCGUUUGGGAAAACCAAGAACAUGGAAAGGUUCCUGAGAUUGAGAUGAAGCUAUCCAUACUAGUGAGAGACCUCGACUUGGCUGGAAUCGGAAACUCGCCGGCGAACCCAGCCUCUCCUUCUCCAUUUCGAAUCUCUCUCUCCCGACCUCUUCUGAAGAAACUGAGGACAUGGACAUGACCACGAGGACGAGAGGAAGCUGCCGCUACCAUUCUUUCUCCUCGCCGUCGCCGGAAUCGGAAGUUGGUUGGCGAACCCAGAAAUCGUUCUCUCCUUCUUUUCUCUCUCGCCGGAGCUCCUCUUCGAAAACGAAGAACAUCUUGAGGACGGUGACGACAAGACGGAGGCGUGGACACCAGCCUUGCGCCAGGAGGUGGCCGAACGACGGAGGAGCAAUCGGCGUCGUUGCAGAGCAAUCGAGACCAAGGUCGGUCUGGGCUUGAGCUGAUCCACUUCGACCACUAUAUAGAUCAAAUCCAACGGCCCAGAUUUCACUGACUUUAAUUUUCUAUAUAAUUAUCUGAAUUUCCAAAACUUCAGAAAUUUAUAGAACAUAUCUCAAGACUCCGAAAAUUUCCACGUACUCGUCGUGACACGUACUAUAAUAUCCAACUCUUAAAUCAUGGACUUGAACUGAUACAAAUUGCUCAAAUCUCCUCAAGCGCAUUUCAAUACUAUUGAGGUCGAUAAACUAUUUACCAAACGACCUCUAAUUAAGCUGGUCAAAUUUUUCGGGUGUCACAAUAAUGUUGGUACUUUGAUUGAUAUAAGUG